AGGAAGAAUUGAUGAAGCUGUCACAGAGUAUGGCGAGAACUUUCUGUCUCACCAUAAGCACUUCGUACGGACAAGCACUGUCUGAAUCACCAAAAGAGACGGUGAGAAUCACGACCCGGAAAGUUUGUGGUGGUGUUGUUUUAUGUGGCGUCUUCACCACGUUGCUUCCUUAUUCUCAUCAUCAAGUAUUUGAUCUUCUCCGCAACGAUCAUCAUCGCUCUCAAUGGAGAUGUUGUUUAAUGAGAAUCCGUUUCAAAAAGUUGCUCAUAUUGCAAAUGGAUAACAUCCUGGAAACUGCAUUUCUCUUCUUCACUUCCAUGGGCCGAGUAGCUCAUCGAAUAAUGUAGAGUGGAUGCUUCAAGAAAUAUGCACUGAUAACUCCGGGACUCUCGUGGUUUACUCUACCGCCGACGCCAACGCCGUCCAUCUCGCGAUGAACGGCCAGGAUUCUUCUACAAUUUCUCUUUUGCCCUUAGGGUUCUCUGUUGUUCAUGUGAAUCAACCCCAUGUGUUUGAGGGCAUUUCCGUCAAUUUGGCUUCGUGCUUGCUCACCGUUGCGGUACAGGUCUUGGUGAGCGACUUCACCACCGCAAGUCUCA
Molecule: long non-coding RNA, 599 nt
Organism: Brassica oleracea var. oleracea
Lineage: Eukaryota; Viridiplantae; Streptophyta; Magnoliopsida; Brassicales; Brassicaceae
Exons: 3
Source: RefSeq, a predicted model, not a curated record